CGGACGGGUGAGUAACGCGUGGAAAACCUGCCGUAUACUGGGGAUAACACUUAGAAAUAGGUGCUAAUACCGCAUAAGCGCACAGCUUCGCAUGAAGCGGUGUGAAAAACUCUGGUGGUAUACGAUGGUUCCGCGUCUGAUUAGCUAGUUGGUGGGGUAAUGGCCUACCAAGGCAACGAUCAGUAGCCGGCCUGAGAGGGUGAACGGCCACAUUGGGACUGAGACACGGCCCAAACUCCUACGGGAGGCAGCAG
Molecule: ribosomal RNA, 254 nt
Filed under: uncultured bacterium
Lineage: Bacteria
Description: partial 16S ribosomal RNA
Rfam family: Bacterial small subunit ribosomal RNA
Source: RNAcentral